Molecule: ribosomal RNA, 374 nt
Filed under: uncultured bacterium
Lineage: Bacteria
Description: bacterial SSU rRNA
Rfam family: Bacterial small subunit ribosomal RNA
Source: RNAcentral
AACCUAACCCGGAAAGGGUAGCUAACUACCGCAUACCGACCUGGAGGGUAGAAAGGCGGGGACCGAAAGGCCUCGCGCGAUGGGAGCGGCCGAUGCCGGAUUAGCUAGUUGGUAGGGUAAAGGCCUACCAAGGCGACGAUCCGUAGCUGGUCUGAGAGGACGACCAGCCACACUGGAACUGAGACACGGUCCAGACUCCUACGGGAGGCAGCAGUGGGGAAUUUUGGACAAUGGGCGAAAGCCUGAUCCAGCCAUUCCGCGUGAGUGAAGAAGGCCUUCGGGUUGUAAAGCUCUUUCGGCAGGAACGAAACGGUGAAGGCUAAUAACCUUUACUAAUGACGGUACCUGAAGAAGAAGCACCGGCUAACUACGUG